Molecule: ribosomal RNA, 460 nt
Filed under: uncultured bacterium
Lineage: Bacteria
Description: partial 16S ribosomal RNA
Rfam family: Bacterial small subunit ribosomal RNA
Source: RNAcentral
CCUACGGGGUGCAGCAGUGAGGAAUAUUGGUCAAUGGGCGGGAGCCUGAACCAGCCAAGUCGCGUGAGGGAAGACGGCCCUAUGGAUUGUAAACCUCUUUUGGCGGGGAGCAAUGCCGGGCACGCGUGCCCGGAGGGAGAGUACCCGCAGAAUAAGCAUCGGCUAACGCCGUGCCAGCAGCCGCGGUAAUACGGAGGAUGCGAGCGUUAUCCGGUUUUUUUGGGUUAAAUGGGUGCGUAGGCGGAUUUUUAAGUCAGCGGUAAAAUGUCCGGGCUCAACCCGGGCCUGCCGUUGAAACUGGGGGUCUUGAGUGGGAGAGAAGUAUGCGGAAUGCGUGGUGUAGCGGUGAAAUGCAUAGAUAUCACGCAGAACUCCGAUUGCGAAGGCAGCAUACCGGCGCCCGACUGACGCUGAGGCACGAAAGCGUGGGGAUCGAACAGGAUUAGAUACCCGGGUAGUC